Pelobates cultripes (western spadefoot toad) is the source of this 214-nucleotide non-coding RNA. The record is from the annotation of a GenBank genome assembly. NCBI's taxonomy places the organism in Eukaryota, Metazoa, Chordata, Amphibia, Anura, Pelobatidae.
GAGCGCUAUGCGCUCACCUCCUGCCGGUCACUCCGGCUUUGCGCCCGCCGGGCCGGUGCGCCCUAAGGCGGCCACUUGUGCCGCCUUAUGGAUGCACCGGCGGAGCGCACCCUCCCUCUCUCCGGCGACCUAUGGCCGCGUGCCCACAGAGGGGGCUCGGCGUGCCACCUGUGGCACGCGUGCCAUAGGUUCGCCAUCACUGACAUAUACCGAC